GUCCCGGUAGCUCAGUUGGAUAGAGCAGCAGAUUUCUAAUCUGCAGGUCGGUGGUUCGAGCCCACCCCGGGACG
This 74-nucleotide transfer RNA is filed under the name Planctomycetota bacterium. Its description in RNAcentral is "tRNA-Arg". It matches the Rfam family "tRNA". Rfam says of the family: Transfer RNA (tRNA) molecules are approximately 80 nucleotides in length. Lineage: Bacteria; Pseudomonadati; Planctomycetota. The record is from RNAcentral. RNAcentral also lists the same sequence under 1 other name.